RNAcentral lists this long non-coding RNA (7716 nucleotides) under Phaseolus vulgaris (common bean). Its description in RNAcentral is "long non-coding RNA (PVUL_LNC001920)". The record is from RNAcentral. Lineage: Eukaryota; Viridiplantae; Streptophyta; Magnoliopsida; Fabales; Fabaceae.
GUCUGAGGCCAAUUCCAAAUAUCAUUCCACAUCCAUAUCCUAUAACCACUGGUUCCCAUCCAAAUCCAAAUCUCUCUUCUCCCAAUAAGCUCGGAGAAGAUGGAGGUUUUUGUUCAGUGUUGUUGCAACUCAUUGACAAUGGGAACCCACAUAAUCCCGAGUUUCCUAGGUAGGAGUCAUUUGAAAAAGUCGCAAACUGUUUUCCUUGAGGUAUUUCUCCCACAAGCUGGUUAUUGGAAAGAUUCAGGACUUCAAGAUAGUUCAGAUUGGUUAAUUCUGUUGGAAUCCUACCAGUAAACAUAUUUGAGGAGAGAUCCAUUGAUUCUAAAUUUGUCAAAUAUCCAAUGGAUUUGGGAAUAAGACCACUUAAUCUGUUAUGGGAAAAAUUGAGUCCUCUAAGAGCAUGAAGCUCUCCAAUUACAUAUGGAAUUUGUCCUUGAAAUUUGUUUUGGGAUAAAUCAAUGGUUACAAAGUUUUUCGGAAUUUGUUUCAAUGUCAUACUUAUCGCUUUUGUUGUUACAGUUACAUAUCCAAUUGUACCUCUUUGGGACCCAUUAUAUGGCAUAUAUGUAAUGCCAAUGUAUAGCUCAUCCCCUUCAUAUGAAAUGACAUUCUUCAUGGCUUUAAAAUUUUGUAUAUAGGUUUUUGGUAUUGGACCAUUGAAAUAGUUGGAUGAGAUAUCAAAAAUAACUAUACUUGAAAAUUCAUACUGCGUCUCUAAAUCGUCAAUGGGACCGUACAAUUUGUUGGAUCGCAAAACCAAUACUGUCAACAUUGGUAGAGUUUGAAGCCAAUGGGGAAAUUUAUCCUCAAUUUGAUUGUUGCCAAGAUUCAAGAUCUCCAACUGUGUGCAAUUGGACAAAGAUUUUGGCAAAGGACCUUCCAAUUGGUUGUCAUUAACAUUAAAAUAAGCGAGCUCACUAUUCAUUGAGAAGUUAUUUGGUAAAGUGCCAUUUAGUUUGUUCCUCUGUAGAUCCAAAAUAUAAAGGCCCCACAAGUUUGCAAGGCAUGGUGGAAUGACGCCUGUCAACUUAUUGUGGGACAAGAUGAGAACUUGAAGAUUACUUGCAUUACAAAUUGAGGAAGACAUGUCACCAGUGAGUAAAUUGAAACUAAUAUCAAGGAUAUUGAGGUUGUAGUUCCUUGAGAAUUGGUUUAUUGGAGUUGUCAACAAGUUGUGGGAUAGGCUCAAAAAUUGUAAUGAACCCAUUUCAUGUAACCACUUGGGCAUUGUUCCAUUCAAUUUGUUGUUGGAUAGAUCAAGCUCUAUCAAAAUUGGGAUUUUUCCUAGUAAUUUUGGAAAUUCAGUUAAACCCACAGAAGAUAAAUACAAUCUCUCUAAGAGAGGAGCAUUGGUGAAAAUUGUAUAGUUAUGAAGACCAUUGAAGUUGUUUGAUGAUAGACAUAAGUGAGUUAGGUUUACAAGGGUGAAGACUGAUUGUGGAAUAUUGCCAUGUAGCUUGUUGUAGCACAAAUAUAGAGACUUCAAGGAUUGAGAUGAGAUUGAAGGUAUAUGGCCUGUGAACUGAUUCUCUGAUAGAUCCAAUUCUUGCAAAAAUGGCAAAGAUAAACACCAAGUAGGAAUUGUCCCAUUUAGUAAGUUGUCUGUGAAGAAUAAAAAAGUUAGAUUUGAAAGCCCUGUUAUUUUGUUUGGUAGAGGGCCCUCCAAUCUAUUCUCUGAAAGAUCCAAGUGAAGAAGAUGUUGAAGAUUUGAAAGUGAGGAUGGAAUUUGGCCACUGAAUCGAUUGUAUCCAAGAUCCAAAAAUGUAAGAUGUGGAAGGGUUAAGAUUGAGGAUGGGAUUGAACCCUUGAGAUAGUUACUUGAGAGAUCGAGGAACGUAAUAUGUGUGAAGUUGGAGAAAGAGGCAGGGAUUGUCCCCUCCAACAUGUUCCUUGAAAGAUCCAACAUAGUGAGAGAAGCAGCACUGCAACUCAAGUUAGGAAACUGCUCAAGACUAUUAUCUGACAACCAUAAGUGUUUAAGUUUUGGUAAACAUAAGAUGUCAGUUUUCAAGUUUUCCUGAACUCCGGUGUAUUUAAGACUAAGAUUAACCAAAGAGGUAGAUAGAUUGAGUGACCUCAUCGAACUAAAAGUCAUAUUUACACCAUCCAAAAUAAGCUCCGCUAAAACUGUUGCAUUUUGAAGGAACUUCUUCCAACUGUUUUCUUUCCACAUUAACCUAGUAAAAGAGAGAUCAAGUGAUUCCAAUUUGGAAAGUUGUGAGAUUUGGGAGGGAAUUUCACUUCGAAAUUCAUAGUUAGAUAUAUUGAGGUGUGUGAGGUUCACAUACCCAACAGAAGGAAAUGAUAAUUGAGAGGAGUAAAAGUAAUUGAAAGUAAGAUUAAGUGAUUGAAGAUGAGAAAGACGGAAAAGAGAAGUGUUUGGAUGGAUUUCACCUGAAAGACGAUUGCAAGCGAGGUCAAGGCCUAUGACGUGACCAGAGAUGGGAUGGCAAAGAACCCCAGACCAUGAACAACAAUCUGUUCCAUUUUCCCAGGUUGACAUCUUUGGAACAAAAUUAUCACAAUCAGAAUAAUAAUAGUCAUGAACAUAAGCAAGAGAGUUCUUGAAUUGGAGCAACGCAAUUUUGUCGUGAAGAUGACAUAAGGAAUGAGAGAAUGAGAAGAGAAAGAGAAACCAAUGGGAACAUAAAAGAAGAAACCAACCCACCCAUGACUCCAUUUGAAAGUGUAUUUAAUGAAAAGUGUUAAGUGUGAUUUAAUUAAAGGAAUGAAAGAUGAAGAUUUAUAGCCAAAAUAAAAUAGGAUAUGAAGAUGAACACGGCAUCACUCAGCUUAUAAUAUUUUCAUUAAUGUUUCAAUUUCCAAAUUGCCUUGAAAGACGGGGCAUAUGGGUUGAUUUUCAUCUUCAAAUAAUGUAUUAUACUUUUCCACCAAAAUGGAAUUGACUUUAAGUCAAUGCCCCAAAAAUUGGGACUUGGGUUUACUAUUCUUCGUGUUUCGUGUUUCUUGGGUUUAACGGUAAAAAGUGGAAUUAAGUAAAUAUUGUAUUCUUCCUUACAAUCUUUAUCGUGAACAAAAUGCUAUUAUUUUUAUCUUUUAGAUACAUUUUCUAUUUCUUUUUGUAGCAUUUUUUAAUUUUUUUCAUAUUUUUUUCAUCUGCUAACCAUAUAAAGAAUACCAUUUUAAAACAAAAUUAAAGAUAUUGAUUUUAUUUUAUUUUCUUAGUAUAGUUUUCUAGGUUAUAAUGUGUAUUUUAGUUGAGUGUGUAGACUCAAACGCUUUAAUUUUAAUUCAUACAUCACAAUGAAUUUUUAAUGAGACCUUUAAUUAGUUAGCCUUUUGUGUUAAUGGUUUCAUUUAUCUGAAAAUUUAAAAAAUGAAUUAGUUAAAAAUAACACUACAUAUUAAAGAACUUUUACUUGGAGAGUUGAAAUUGAUGGUAUGAUAGAUAGAAAAAUAAACACUACAUUAGAAAACUUAUAUUUAAAAAUAUACAACAACUUUUAAUUUAACCAAUAGUGACAAUUUAAUUCAAUAUUUUUUAGUGCUUAUGAUCUAUCUUUUAUCUUUCUAUUCAAGAAUUUCAAGUUUCAGACUGAAUUGCAGGUAAAUGUUUAGUAUCUUUGGAAGGCUGAAAUAAAUGUUAAGAGUUAAAGUACUAACUAUUUUUUAAAAUAGCUUGUGAUUCUUAUAAUUUUUUUUUAUAAAUUUGAUGAUUAUGAAUUUUUUAAUAUAGGUUUAUUUUAUUUUAAAUAUAUAAGUAAUGUAUUUAUAUUAAAAUUUUGUGGUGAUAUUUAUAUUAACAUGUUUUUGUUAGUUUAAGACUAAAAUAAAUGUAAGAGUUUUGGUCUUCUUACCAACUAAAAAAGUAUGAAUAAACGUACUAACAAUUUUUUAUUUCUUUCAUGAUUUCGGAAUUGGAUGGUUUUUUUUUUAAUAUAUGUUUAUUUUGUUUUUAAAAAUAUUUCAAUAAUGUAUAUACAUUAUUGUUGUCUUUAUUAAGACUUUUGUGGAUGAUAUUAAUUUGUUGUUGUGAGUUUGAAACUAAAGAAUAUAUAAAUAUCUUUCAAUAUUGUUUGUGAUUAAAACUCAUACAAAACAAAUAAAAUUUUGUAUAAAUUUAUGUAAAUGUAUACAUAAUUAGUAAUCAUUAAACUCAUUCAAAAAGUCUACUGAUACAUUCACAUUGUAGACAAUAUAAACCUUCAAACAUACAUGCUAAUAUCAUUAUAACAUAAUAUAAAAUAUUUGUUGCCUCUAUUUGGACUUUUGUGGUAGUGUUUAUCCUGACCUACAUGUAUGAGUUGUUUGUGAUUUUUUGCAUUUUUUUAAAAUUCAUGAUUCUUUUAGUUUUUAAUAUAGAUUUAUUUAUUUUAUUUACAAUAUAUUUGCCUUUACUUGAAUUUUUGUGUUAUCAUUGAUUAUGUUAACAAGCUUUAUGAAUUUGAGACUAAAACAAAUGUUAAGAAAUUAGGGUUUUAGUAAAACUGAAGCAUAAGAUAAAAAAAACUAACAAACUAAUUGUUUUUUAAUACUGUUUGUAACAGCGUAAAAAGAUAAAAGCAGAGCCACACCCCUCUCCCCACACAGUGCCUUUUAUUUUCUUUUUCUUUUUCUCUCUUCAUAUUCUUUUCUCUUCCUCUUUUUUAAUUUUCUCUCCCAAUAUUCAUCUAUUUUAGAAUCUAAUCGGACCACGUUGUAGCUGACGAGUUAAGGAACAUUUCUACCCUAUCAGAUUUUCAAACAGAGUAAGUUCAUUUUUGCUCUAAAGUUCCUUUGUUCUUUAUUUUUCCUUAAGAUUUAGUCAUCAAUCUUGGUGGGGUCAGUUGAGAAGUUUAAUCCUCUCAACUUAUUCUACUAUAUACUGAAUUUUUGUUCUGUUUGGAUAACUUGCAUUAGGCCCGUAAAUCUUGAAGUUUAUCGACGGUGGGAAAUAAAAUUCUAAAAGUUGCUUGAGGUAAGGGAAGCUAAAUUUAAUUUUUAAUAGCACCCUAGGAUAGAAGAUAUGAAUGCGAAAAGGACGUGGUCCCAAUAUUCAAUUUUUCUUGCAGGGAUGUUGUGUGUUAUAUAUAUUGGGUUGUUUGUUUAUAUAUUAUUUAAAUUUGUGGAAAUAUUAGGUUUUGAUGAUUUAGUAUUAAAGUGUUAUUUUUUUUAUGUCAAAUAGACUUUUGAAUAUUGUGGAUUACUUUUGAAAUGAUAUUGUAUGACGGAAUGGUAUGGAAUUGAAUUCAUACAUUUGGGAUAAUGUAUGGACUGAUGUUUGUUGUGUAUUAAGUAUUGAUGCCUAUGUGGUAACAGAGAUCUCCGAGCUUCACUGAUGAUCUAAGUCACAUAGAUUAAGACAUCAGGUGGUGAGAAGCUGAUGGGGGAGUUCAUGCACACCGUGACAUAUGAGAUGUACGACUUUGGUUGUAUUGAACUUACCCUGAUCUUUUCUGUUGGAUUCGCUGAUAAUCUUUGGAUCAGGUGUUAGUCUCUGGUAGGACUGACUUAAUACGGAUCUUCCGGAAGACGUUGUUUGUUGAAUAUUCUGGAUGUGUAGAUCCAUGUGAGAUCUAUGUGAUUGUUUUAUGUUGGAAUUUGAAGAAGAUUGAAUAAUUGAGAAAUUGACCAUGUAAUUUGAUUUUCUCUUUUAAUUUAAUUUCAUAUAUUAUAAAAUUUUAUUUUCACUAGCUUACCCUUGCUUUUUGUGUUGUGUUUAAACUGCGAUGACUGUACUAUGUACACGAGCAGAUGACCAUACAGGUGCAGGAAAGUCUUAGAGGUUUCAGAGUUUUAUUUUUAGCUAUGAAUAUGUAAAUAUUUGUAUUUCUAUAAAUCCUAAUAAUGUAUUAGGAAUGUUUUGAAAAACUUCAAAUUUGUAUAGAAAUACGUAGAACUUGUAUUGUAAUAGUUAGAUAUUAUUUUCUGGGGUGUUACACUGUUUAUGUGUUUCUUCCGUUCUUUCAAAUUUGGAUCAUUCUUGAUUUUUUAAUAUAUAUUUAUUUUAUUUUAAAAAUAUCUGAUUAAUGUAUUUAUAUUAUUUUUGUCAUUUUAGGACUUUUGUGUCCAACAUAGGAAUUGAGUUGGAGUCGGUGCCGACAAAAAUGAGAAACAUGCCAGAUAAAUAUUUUAAAUAAACAAAAUGAGUUUAAUAUGACAUCAUUUUGCAGUAAUUAGCUACAAAAUCACUUAUUUUAUCUGUUUAUAAAUAAAAAAAUAAAAAAAUUUCAUGAUAAAAUGCAUGAAUACAUGGAUGAUAAAAUUUGUCAAAUGAUGAUAAUUUAACGGUAAAAUGUGUAAUUUAGUAAAUAUGUUAUUCUUUCUUAUAAUCUUUAUCGUCAACAAAAUGUUAUUAUUUUUAUCUUUUCAAAUACUUUUUCUAUUCUUUUUAGCAUUUUUAAUUUUUUAAUAUUAUUUAUUUAUUUGUCAUCUGUUAAUCAAAUAAAUACUACUAUAGUUAAAAACAAAUAUAGAUAUUGAUUUGAUUAUAAAUUGUUUAAGAAUUAAAAGGUAUUUACCAAACUUGUUGAAGAGAAUCAACUUAAUUAUAAGUACUUAUGUACGAGCUGACAAUAAAAAUAAAUAAAUAAAUAUAUUUACUACAACAUUAUAUUGCCAAUUUGUCUUGUUUUUUUUUAACUUGUACAAUACAUACGUUUAUAACUUGGAGGAUGAAGUAGAUGUAAGAGUUUAGGAUGUUUAUAAAAAUUAAGCAAAAGCAUAAAAAUCUAGAUUUUUAUUGUGAUGUUUAUAUUAACUUUAUCAUGAUAUGUUAAUAAUAUAGUUAUACAUUAUAAUGGUGACUCCAUUAUAAUCACCUCAUAACACCAUUUAAUCUUUUAAGAUAUUUUUAUAACCUUCAGGUUUAGUUCAUCUAUACCAGAAUAUCUAUCAUUCAUUUUCAUUCAAACUUGUAAUAUGUAUAAUAAAAUGUUUGUUUCUUUGGAUAAGAAUUCAAAGUGAAAAAUCAAUAAAUAACUUGAGACAGAAAUUGUGAAUAACGUUGUUUUUUCAUUUGUUAUGCUUUAAACAAUAAAAAGAGUUAUAAUAUAUUUUAGAUAAAUUAAUGUUAAAAAUUUGUAAUUUCUUUUAGAUUUGAUAUGUACUAUCAUUUUAAUAUUACGCUUUGAUUGUUAGGUUAAAUAUGUCAAAAGAAAGUGAGUUUAUUUCUUUCACAAACAAAAUUUGAAGAUGCAGACAAAGGAAAUGUGGCAACAAAAGUAGAACACAUUUAUUUCACAAGUAAACAUUGAUCAAAUCUCUCAUACAAUAUGAUGUGAUAAGAUUCUUGAUUUACAUUGAAAUUAAACAAAAACAAGUGCAUAGAACAUUCUCCACUUAUUUAUUUUGCUACAAUUCUCAUGACUUCUUUUUCCCCAUUAUAUUAAGACCACCUCACAAGCCAUUCAAGCUUUCCUAUAAUACAAAAGUCUGAGGCCAAUUCCAAAUAUCAUUCCACAUCCAUAUCCUAUAACCACUGGUUCCCAUCCAAAUCCAAAUCUCUCUUCUCCCAAUAAGCUCGGAGAAGAUGGAGGGUUUUGUUCAGUGUUGUUGCAAUUCAUUGACAAUGGAAACCCACAUAAUCCCGAGUUUCCUAGGUAGGAGUCAUUUGAAAAAGUCGCAAACUGUUUUCCUUUAGGUAUUUCUCCCACAAGCUGGUUAUUGGAAAGAUUCAAGACUGCUAGAAAGUUCAUAUUGGUUAAUUCUGUUGGAAUCCUACCAGUGAACAUAUUUGAAGAGAGAUCCAAUGAUUCUAAGUUUGUCAAAUAU